RNAcentral lists this unclassified non-coding RNA (394 nucleotides) under Hevea brasiliensis (rubber tree). Lineage: Eukaryota; Viridiplantae; Streptophyta; Magnoliopsida; Malpighiales; Euphorbiaceae. The record is from RNAcentral.
CUAUCCUGUUCCAUCUUUAUUGGCAAUAGAACCUUUAUUUGCAGCAUAGUGAAGUGUAGUUAAUGUUGUUUCUCCAAAAGCAUACAUAUUGCUCUGAAAGUCAACAACAUAUAUUAAACACAUUCAGAAAGGGACACUAUUUAUGCACUAGAAAGCAUGGGCUGUUUGGUGGUCAACCAUUUAAGCUGCUGCUAAGGCCUUUUCUUGAUAUAAUCCUUCAGCCACCAGCCUCCACAACUUAGCCACGCGAGUGUUAAAACCCUAUCCUCAUCAUCAUCAAGAGGAAAAUCACGUAUUAACCUUAUGAAGAUAUAAAACAAGAAGAGGAAGAAGCUCAAACCAAUGACACAAGUAGCAAUGGUAAGCCCUAAGGAAGGUGCUAGAACUGCAUAAG